GAUGAACGCUGGCGGCGUGCCUAAUACAUGCAAGUCGAGCGAACGGACGAGAAGCUUGCUUCUCUGAUGUUAGCGGCGGACGGGUGAGUAACACGUGGAUAACCUACCUAUAAGACUGGGAUAACUUCGGGAAACCGUAGCUAAUACCGGAUAAUAUUUUGAACCGCAUGGUUCAAAAGUGAAAGACGGUCUUGCUGUCACUUAUAGAUGGAUCCGCGCUGCAUCAGCUAGUUGGUAAGGUAACGGCUUACCAAGGCAACGAUGCAUAGCCGACCUGAGAGGGUGAUCGGCCACACUGGAACUGAGACACGGUCCAGACUCCUACAGGAGGCAGCAGUAGGGAAUCUUCCGCAAUGGGCGAAAGCCUGACGGAGCAACGCCGCGUGAGUGAUGAAGGUCUUCGGAUCGUAAAACUCUGUUAUUAGGGAAGAACAUAUGUGUAAGUAACUGUGCACAUCUUGACGGUACCUAAUCAGAAAGCCACGGCUAACUACGUG
This 497-nucleotide ribosomal RNA is filed under the name uncultured bacterium. RNAcentral describes it as "partial 16S ribosomal RNA". It matches the Rfam family "Bacterial small subunit ribosomal RNA", at positions 28 to 507 of the family's 1533-position model. The record is from RNAcentral.